Molecule: ribosomal RNA, 452 nt
Filed under: uncultured bacterium
Lineage: Bacteria
Description: bacterial SSU rRNA
Rfam family: Bacterial small subunit ribosomal RNA
Source: RNAcentral
UACGGGAGGCAGCAGUGGGGAAUAUUGCACAAUGGGCGCAAGCCUGAUGCAGCCAUGCCGCGUGUAUGAAGAAGGCCUUCGGGUUGUAAAGUACUUUCAGUCGUGAGGAAGGUGUUAAGGUUAAUAACCUUAGCAAUUGACGUUAGCGACAGAAGAAGCACCGGCUAACUCCGUGCCAGCAGCCGCGGUAAUACGGAGGGUGCGAGCGUUAAUCGGAAUUACUGGGCGUAAAGGGCACGCAGGCGGUUAAUUAAGUUGGAUGUGAAAUCCCCGGGCUUAACCUGGGAAUGGCAUUCAAGACUGGUUAGCUAGAGUCUUGUAGAGGGGGUAGAAUUCCAUGUGUAGCGGUGAAAUGCGUAGAGAUGUGGAGGAAUACCGGUGGCGAAGGCGGCCCCUGGACAAAGACUGACGCUCAUGUGCGAAAGCGUGGGGAGCAAACAGGGAUUAGAUUA